Molecule: non-coding RNA, 1243 nt
Organism: Penaeus vannamei (Pacific white shrimp)
Lineage: Eukaryota; Metazoa; Arthropoda; Malacostraca; Decapoda; Penaeidae
Source: RefSeq, a predicted model, not a curated record
ACUUGGACAGGGAGGGACUGCGGGGUGUUGGAGUACCUUAAGUACAGACCUCGCGACUGUUGUUUUGGGGCGUGCUUUUACUCGGUUUCGUUCAGAGGGAGUUCGAGGAUAAAGGGAGGGAGGUAAUUAAAGCUAGUCUGGGUAGGUUUUCGCAGGGUUCUUUCAUUACUGCUGUUGAGGCGAGUGAUUUCGCCGGCGAAUAUGCAGAGGUUCCUCGGGGGCGCGAUCUUGAUUCGGAGAUUGACAGCGCUGAAUUUUGCUGAUCGGUGGGUUUCCAAUAGAAGGAUGGGUGCAGAGGAUUCUCCGAGUGAGGGUGCAGCUGAAAAGAAAUGGCUGGGGUUACAAAAAAAGAUUUAAUGACGCUGGUUGAUAAAAAAAAAGAAAAAAAAAGAAAAAGAAGUGACGUGGAAGAGACGAAAGGAAAGCUUCCCAUUUUCGUGUGAAGUGAUUUUAAAGACAAUGAUGCGUGCCUCAACCUAGAGAAGUGGAUGAGCAUUUUAGAAUCACUCACAGUAGGGGAAGUCUGGGAUGGCUCGGGAAUGUCCCGCACUGGGAGACAGGAGGGUGUCACGGGACCCUCACCUCCUUACCUGAAGACAAAAGACGAACGAGGGCCUCUGGGCUGAAGGAAAUCGUAUGCAGAGCCAAAAUUUGUUCUUAGCGCGGACAACAGAUGGCGCUGACUGCUGUGGCCAUGAAUCAUGACCCAAAUUCAUGAACAAACGUACUGAUGCUAAGCUGAGAUUACAAAUGAAAGUGGAGACAUCAAGAAGGAAAUCAGUCAUGAUGAAAACCCUAUUUGGAAGCAUAUGACAUCAGAUACUUCAAACCACUGAAAGCAGCUUCAAGACAUUGAUAGGAAUGAAAGGAGCCCAUCCUUCCGCUGAUCACAAUUGUAUAAAUAAUUGAUACACGCAGUCACCCAUGGCAUAUUCAAGAAGGGUAGGCUUUUAUCUUUUUUUUGUUUUUGUAUUUGUUUUGGGUAAAAGUAAACACCCAGGAAUUUGGUAAUUUUUCACUUACUAAUAUCCUAUCUUUCUGUAGUUCUGCUUACUAGCCUUCCUUAUGUGUUAUCAUGCUUAACCGCCAUUGCCUUGAUUUUUGGAAAACUGUAAAAUGAUUACUGUUUUGUUAAUGGCAGUAUAAUGAUUAUAGUAGCAGUAAUGAUAAAGGUAAUAGUAGUAAUUGAAAUAGCAUGGUUUGUGGACCAUCUGUGUGUGAACAAAAUAAACAGAAAACUAUA